RNAcentral lists this ribosomal RNA (468 nucleotides) under uncultured bacterium. Its description in RNAcentral is "partial 16S ribosomal RNA". It matches the Rfam family "Bacterial small subunit ribosomal RNA", at positions 28 to 507 of the family's 1533-position model. The record is from RNAcentral.
GACGAACGCUGGCGGCGUGCUUAACACAUGCAAGUCGAACGGAAAGGCCCUGCUUUUGUGGGGUGCUCGAGUGGCGCACGGGUGAGUAACACGCGAGUAACCUGUCCUUGACUUUGGGAUAACUUCAGGAAACUGGGGCUCAUACCGGAUAGGAGAUCCUGCUGCAUGGUGGGGGUUGGAAAGAUUCGGCGGUUGGGGAUGGACUCGCGGCUUAUCAGCUUGUUGGUGGGGCAGUGGCGUACCAAGGCUUUGACGGGUAGCCGGCCUGCGAGGGUGACCGGCCACAGUGGGACUGAGAUACGACCCAGACUGCUACGGGAGGCAGCGGUGGGGAAUAGAGCGCAAUGGGCGGAAGCCGGAUGGAGCAAUGCCGGGUGCGGGAUGACGGCCGUCAGGUUGUAAACGGCGUUCGCCUGUGACGAAGCGUGAGUGACGGUAAUUGGUAAAGAAGCACCGGCUAACUACGUG